UACGGAGGGGGCAAGUGUUACUCGACUUAAUUUGGCGUAAAGGGUACGUAGGUUGUUUGGUAAAACUUUUGGUAUAAUUUGCAAGGCCGGAGGCUUAAAUACUAAAGAAUAUUGCUCGACUUGAAUCCGGAAGAAGAAGGUAGUACUCUCAACGUAGGGGUGAAAUCUGUAAAAGUUGACGGGGACUAACAUUAGGCGAAAGCAGCCUUCUAGUACGUGAUUGACACUGAGGUACGAAAGCGUAGGGAGCGAACGGG
This 257-nucleotide ribosomal RNA is filed under the name uncultured prokaryote. Its description in RNAcentral is "partial 16S ribosomal RNA". It matches the Rfam family "Bacterial small subunit ribosomal RNA", at positions 524 to 776 of the family's 1533-position model. The record is from RNAcentral.